UAUUAAAAAUUUUGUCUAUUUGUAUUAUUAAAAGCGAGCGUAAUUAACAAAAUAACCAUACAGUGACACGUGUACCUUAUGUUGAUAUACAAUAACUAAUUUUUAACAGUAAAAAUAGAUGAAAUUUUUGACA
Molecule: non-coding RNA, 133 nt
Organism: Gossypium hirsutum (cotton)
Lineage: Eukaryota; Viridiplantae; Streptophyta; Magnoliopsida; Malvales; Malvaceae
Source: Rfam